Molecule: ribosomal RNA, 207 nt
Filed under: Aliivibrio fischeri
Lineage: Bacteria; Pseudomonadati; Pseudomonadota; Gammaproteobacteria; Vibrionales; Vibrionaceae
Description: partial 23S ribosomal RNA
Rfam family: Bacterial large subunit ribosomal RNA
Source: RNAcentral
GUUGUAUGGUUAAGUAAUUAAGCGUACACGGUGGAUGCCUUGGCAGUCAGAGGCGAUGAAAGACGUAUUAACUUGCGAUAAGCCCAGAUUAGGUAGUAAAAACCAUUUGAGUCUGGGAUUUCUGAAUGGGGAAACCCACGUGCAUAAGCACGUAUCACUACAUGAAUACAUAGUGUAGUGAGGCGAACCGGGAGAACUGAAACAUCU